RNAcentral lists this ribosomal RNA (411 nucleotides) under uncultured bacterium. RNAcentral's name for it is "bacterial SSU rRNA". It matches the Rfam family "Bacterial small subunit ribosomal RNA", at positions 64 to 507 of the family's 1533-position model. The record is from RNAcentral.
GCACGAGAAAGUGGAGCAAUCCAUGAGUACAGUGGCGUACGGGUGAGUAACACGUGGAUCAUCUACCUCUUGGUGGGGAAUAACCCUGGGAAACCGGGGCUAAUACCGCAUAAGCCUGCAAAGGGAAAGCAGCAAUGCGCCGAGAGAGGAGUCCGCGGCCGAUUAGCUGGUUGGUAGGGUAACGGCCUACCAAGGCAAUGAUCGGUAGCCGGCCUGAGAGGGCACACGGCCACACUGGCACUGAAACACGGGCCAGACUCCUACGGGAGGCAGCAGUGGGGAAUCUUGCACAAUGGGGGAAACCCUGAUGCAGCGACGCCGCGUGAGCGAUGAAGCCCUUCGGGGUGUAAAGCUCUUUCGGCAGGAACGAUAAUGACGGUACCUGCAGAAGAAGCUGCGGCUAACUACGUG